This is a long non-coding RNA of Alnus glutinosa, 599 nucleotides long. RefSeq lists it as uncharacterized. Lineage: Eukaryota; Viridiplantae; Streptophyta; Magnoliopsida; Fagales; Betulaceae. The transcript is spliced from 2 exons. The record is from RefSeq and is a predicted model, not a curated record.
UAACUUACGCUAUAAAUAUAUAUAGGUGAUUUUCAUUCUUGGUUGGCAUAAGUAAGGAGCACAUGGCCAAGACUCCAAAAAUUGCUCAUAUCCUUCCUAUAUUCAUUAUCUUUAUCUUCAUUACAAGUGCGGCAGCACGACAUACUUACGUGGAAGAAUAUUGCAGUCGUUUGAGCAAACAUUGGCAUAAAAGUUGUCAAUGGGCCUCACACUGUAACAAAAAAUGCAAAGACCUAGAGCAUGCGGUUUCCGGAACGUGCCAAAGGCCUCAUUGGUGGUCAUUUAGUCAAAAAUGUUACUGCCUCUUCAACUGUGGAAUUCGUAUAUAAAAUGGUGUUGUUUUACGUAUGUGCCUUUUCGAAUGCUGCUGCUCAUUUAUCCUCUAAUGUUGAGGAAAUUUUGGGGUUUCUCUUGUAUAAAUAUAUUAUAUACAUUAAAUAAAUGCAUGUCUAGUUGCGGCCCAUUAAUGUGCGGCAUGGUGGGCACUGAAGUUUGUACUUUUAUCAGCCUUCCUAACAUUCAAAGAAGUGGAGGUUAGGAUGGCGUUAACAGUAUUAGAGAUAAUGGAGAAGAUCUACCAAUCUUGAACGAUGUUGAAA